RNAcentral lists this ribosomal RNA (559 nucleotides) under Scincella lateralis (ground skink). RNAcentral's name for it is "partial 16S ribosomal RNA". It matches the Rfam family "Bacterial large subunit ribosomal RNA", at positions 1820 to 2635 of the family's 2925-position model. The record is from RNAcentral. Lineage: Eukaryota; Metazoa; Chordata; Lepidosauria; Squamata; Scincidae.
CUUUAGCAAUAAUUAGUAUUAAAGGUCCUGCCUGCCCAGUGAAAUUUAUUUUUAACGGCCGCGGUAUUCUAACCGUGCAAAGGUAGCGUAAUCACUUGUCUUCUAAAUAAAGACCGGUAUGAAUGGCUAAAUGAGGAUAAACCUGUCUCCUGCACCCAAUCAGUGAAACUGAUCUCUCAGUCCAAAAGCUGGGAUAACAACACAAGACGAGAAGACCCUGUGGAGCUUAAAACACACUACUAUGAAACUAAAUAAGUAAUUAGUACCCAUUUUAAGUUGGGGCGACUUCGGAACAAAACAAAACUUCCGAGCACAGAACCACCACUUCUUACCAAGGCUAACAAGCCGACAUAAAUGACCCAGUCAUACUGAUCAACGAACCAAGUUACCCCAGGGAUAACAGCGCUAUCUUCUUCAAGAGUCCAUAUCGACAAGAAGGUUUACGACCUCGAUGUUGGAUCAGGACACCCAAAUGGUGCAGCCGCUAUUAAAGGUUCGUUUGUUCAACGAUUAACAGUCCUACGUGAUCUGAGUUCAGACCGGAGCAAUCCAGGUCGGU